This 1407-nucleotide ribosomal RNA is filed under the name metagenome. RNAcentral's name for it is "bacterial LSU rRNA". It matches the Rfam family "Bacterial large subunit ribosomal RNA", at positions 1440 to 2925 of the family's 2925-position model. The record is from RNAcentral.
GUAACCACUGAAAGAUUAAAGCAAAGGGACACUCUGAAAGGGCAUGACCCGGGCGUUGGUAGACCCGGGCGAAAGGGACCGAAAUUUAGUAGGGAAGCAUGCUUAGACGGAGGCGAGAAAAGCUUUGUGUAUAUCUGAGGUGCCCGUACCGCAAACCGACACAGGUAGGUAGGAAGAAGAUUCUAAGGCCAACGGGAGAAGGGUUGUUAAGGAACUCGGCAAGUUGACCCCGUAACUUCGGGAUAAGGGGUGCUCUGGAGACAGAGCCGCAGAGAAUAGGUCCAGGCGACUGUUUAGCAAAAACACAGGUCUCUGCUAAAUCGAAAGAUGACGUAUAGGGGCUGACACCUGCCCGGUGCUGGAAGGUUAAGAGGAGAUGUGAGAGCAUUGAAUUGAAGCCCCAGUAAACGGCGGCCGUAACGAUAACGGUCCUAAGGUAGCGAAAUUCCUUGUCAGGUAAGUUCUGACCCGCACGAAUGGUGUAACGAUCUGGACACUGUCUCAACAGCCCGCCCGGCGAAAUUGCAGUACCGGUGAAGAUGCCGGUUACCCGCGACAAGACGGAAAGACCCCAUGGAGCUUUACUGUAGCCUAAUAUUGGAUUUCGGUAUUUCAUGUACAGAAUAGGUGGGAGACUGGGAAGACUGGACGCCAGUUCAGUUGGAGUCGACGUUGGGAUACCACUCUUGAGAUGCUGGAAUUCUAACCUGCGGCCGUGAAACCGGUCGGGGGACAUUGUUAGGUGGGCAGUUUGACUGGGGCGGUCGCCUCCGAAAGAGUAACGGAGGCGCUCAAAGGUUCGCUCAGCACGGACGGAAACCGUGCAUCAGAGUGUAAACGCAGAAGCGAGCCUAACUGCGAGACUGACGGGUCGAGCAGUAACGAAAGUUGGAGUUAGUGAUCCGGUGGUAUGUGAGUGGAAAUGCCAUCGCUCAACGGAUAAAAGCUACCCUGGGGAUAACAGGCUGAUCUCCCCCAAGAGUCCACAUCGUCGGGGAGGUUUGGCACCUCGAUGUCGGCUCAUCGCAUCCUGGGGCUGAAUUCGGUCCCAAGGGUUUGGCUGUUCGCCAAUUAAAGCGGUACGCGAGCUGGGUUCAGAACGUCGUGAGACAGUUCGGUCCCUAUCUGUCGUGGGCGCAGGAUAUUUGAGUGGAGCUGUCCCUAGUACGAGAGGACCGGGAUGGACGCACCUCUGGUGCACCAGUUGUCACGCCAGUGGCACAGCUGGGCAGCUACGUGCGGAUCGGAUAAACGCUGAAGGCAUCUAAGCGUGAAACCGGCCACAAGAUAAGAUAUCCCACUGAUUAAUCAGGUAAGACCCCUGGAAGACUAGCAGGUAGAUAGGCUCAAGGUGUAAGCGUCGUGAGGCGUUAAGCCAGCGAGUACUAAUCGGUCGAGGGCUUGAUC